GCCAGGGUGGCGAAAUGGUUAGCGCAUCUGCCUAGCAAGCAGGACACCUGGGUUCGAAUCCCACCCCUGGUA
Molecule: non-coding RNA, 72 nt
Organism: Schistocerca cancellata (South American locust)
Lineage: Eukaryota; Metazoa; Arthropoda; Insecta; Orthoptera; Acrididae
Source: the annotation of a RefSeq genome assembly